UAGGGAAUCUUCGGCAAUGGACGGAAGUCUGACCGAGCAACGCCGCGUGUGUGAAGAAGGUUUUCGGAUCGUAAAGCUCUGUUGUUAGAGAAGAACGUUGGUAGGAGUGGAAAAUCUACCAAGUGACGGUAACUAACCAGAAAGGGACGGCUAACUACGUGCCAGCAGCCGCGGUAAUACGUAGGUCCCGAGCGUUGUCCGGAUUUAUUGGGCGUAAAGCGAGCGCAGGCGGUUCUUUAAGUCUGAAGUUAAAGGCAGUGGCUUAACCAUUGUACGCUUUGGAAACAGGAGGACUUGAGUGCAGAAGGGGAGAGUGAAAUUCCGUGUGUAGCGGUGAAAUGCGUAGAUAUAUGGAGGAACACCGGUGGCGAAAGCGGCUCUCUGGUCUGUAACUGACGCUGAGGCUCGAAAGCGUGGGGAGCAAACAGG
This 429-nucleotide ribosomal RNA is filed under the name Bacillota bacterium. RNAcentral's name for it is "Firmicutes bacterium partial 16S ribosomal RNA". It matches the Rfam family "Bacterial small subunit ribosomal RNA", at positions 355 to 776 of the family's 1533-position model. Lineage: Bacteria; Bacillati; Bacillota. The record is from RNAcentral.